Molecule: long non-coding RNA, 912 nt
Filed under: Homo sapiens (human)
Lineage: Eukaryota; Metazoa; Chordata; Mammalia; Primates; Hominidae
Description: HSALNT0378234
Source: RNAcentral
UCCGGUCCGCCCGCUUCUCUCCUUUAUAUAGCGAGCCAACAAGCUGCGCGAGCCACCACCGCCGCCGCCGCCGCCGCCGAGAGACAGGUGGGUACGCUGCGAAGACUAGGCUUAUGUUACCCAGAGGUUAGUCCUCUACUAGGCCACGUACUUUAAAUAAUUUAUCACGCUAGUGGAAAUGCGGGGUGGAAGAAAACCCCACCAGCCUUUGGAUUGUAACAGCACAGUAACUUUCCCUGGUUUUUAAAAAUAUUGCCAAAAUACUGCGACUCCAUGUGGCCAACGUAUAGUGACUGAUCACUUUGAAAUGCAUGCCCUUGACCCACCAACUCGCAUGGCCUCUCGCUAUAAGAGAGCAAGCCGGCUGUGUUCCAUGUUCAAUUCAAUAAGUGCAAUUCAAUAAGCUUUUGACUUGUUCUGCCCAAGCAAAUCCUGCCUUUAUAUCGACCUUGCAAGCAGAACAGAGAAUGCUGUUUGGAAGGCAGAAUUCAUAGUACCUAGUUUUCUUGUCCCUGGGAAUUUUGAGGGACUUGAAAUGUCGCGUGGAUGAGUGAGGGAGUUUGUCUUCCAGAGACAAAGCAAAACGAAACGUCAAAGUUCUGUGCUGGUGAAACCAGAUUUGAAGAAUAUCAAAGGCGUCUUACCAAAGAGGAAAAAAAAUGCAUCUUGCCAAGACUUGAAGAAAGGGAUUAGAGAAACCAGAGGCCUUGAAUACUCAGAAAAUGGGAGAUUGUGAAUGGGUGUAGAGGAUAUCUAUGAACCUUGACAUUUCUUUUCACGCCAAGUCCAUUCCCCUGUUAACAGUUGCUUCCCAGUUUCCUGCACAGCUGCAUGGUCUGGGACACUUAAAGAAAAAAAUCACAGGAAAUCAGUGUUCUUGGUAUAUUAUAUAAAGUUAUGAUUCUAUCAACA